Molecule: RNA transcript, 10631 nt
Organism: Oncorhynchus masou masou (cherry salmon)
Lineage: Eukaryota; Metazoa; Chordata; Actinopteri; Salmoniformes; Salmonidae
Gene name: transcription factor Maf-like
Exons: 4
Source: RefSeq, a predicted model, not a curated record
GGCAUGAAUUUGCCUGUGACACGGCACGUGAACCUCCUUCAAUUUGGCGCACUAAUCCUAAAAUAAGGUAUGAAGUGUUAAAUGUUAGAAACACGCAGAACUGCGCUCAGACAAGGAGAAAGAGAGGGAGAAACGGAGGAGAGUGAGACGCACGCGCUGCUCUGGUGCGUCUGUGCAGAGACUGCAUAAAAAGAGAGAAAAAAAAUAACAAAAAAACGUGCGCUGCGCAAUUAGGCUAGAAACCUUGUGUUUUUUCUCUCCAUUUUCUGGAAGAUAAAAUAAAUAAAGAAAUCAAGCUGGCUCAGUGCAUGUCACAGCAGCCCGCUUUGACAGGUGCUGCUCAGCCCCUUUGGAGGACUGCUUUCAGCAGCAGCAGGAUGGCAUCAGAACUGGCAAUGAGCAACUCCGACCUGCCCACCAGUCCCCUGGCCAUGGAAUAUGUUAAUGACUUCGAUCUGAUGAAGUUUGAAGUGAAAAAGGAGCCGGUGGAGCCGGAUCGCAGCAUCAGCCAGUGCAGCCGCCUGAUCGCCGGGGGAUCCUUGUCUUCCACCCCGAUGAGCACGCCUUGCAGCUCGGUUCCCCCUUCCCCAAGCUUUUCGGCGCCCAGCCCGGGCUCCGGGAGCGAGCAGAAGGCUCACCUGGAGGAUUUCUACUGGAUGAGCGGCUACCAACAGCAGCUGAAUCCCGAAGCGCUGGGCUUCAGCCCCGAAGACGCGGUAGAGGCGCUGAUCAGCAGCAGCCACCAUCUCCAGUCCUUCGAUGGCUAUGCUAGAGGGCAGCAGUUCGCCGGGGUGGCCGGGGCAGGAGGCGGCAUGGCCGGGGAGGAGAUGGGCUCAGCAGCCGCUGUGGUAUCCGCUGUUAUCGCUGCAGCGGCAGCGCAGAACGGAGGUCCCCACCACCAUCACCACCACCACCACGCCGGGGGACACCACCCCUCCACAGGGGUCCCGUCCAACGCCAGUUCGGCAGGCAGCCACCAGCACAUAGGACACCUGGACCUGGACGACCGGUUUUCGGACGACCAGCUGGUGAGCAUGUCAGUACGGGAGCUGAACCGACAACUGCGCGGGGUCAGCAAGGAGGAGGUGAUCCGGCUGAAACAGAAGAGGAGGACCCUAAAGAACAGAGGCUAUGCCCAGUCCUGCCGCUACAAGCGGGUCCAGCAGAGACAUGUUCUGGAGGGCGAGAAGACGCAGCUGAUCCAGCAGGUGGACCACCUCAAGGCGGAGAUAUCGCGGCUGGCCAGGGAGCGGGACGCAUACAAGGACAAGUACGAGAAGCUCAUAACCAACGGCUGCAGGGAAAACGGCUCCGACAACACCCCCUCGUCCCCAGAGUUUUUCAUGACGUCGAGAAAGUUCCUCCAUCUGUGAUAGUGACCCCUGAACCCUGCACAUGACCCUUGACCUGGAGUCUAAGUUUCCCAUGUGUAUCAAGAAUGGUCCACCAGCCAAUUUGACACAACUGGAUUGGAGUCAACAUGGGGUCAACAUGGGCCAGCAUGACUAAGAAACCAUGACAGAGGAAUGCUGAUAUCUUAACAUCAUUCCGCGGCGCCAGACGGCCACAAAGCACAACGUCCACACAUCUCCAAACCACCCAGAAACCAAGCAACAGACCCUGUACAGAAGUCCAGAUGGACCCGUCACCCAACACCGCACACCUUCAUGACGAGAUUAUCCCCCGAAACAAAUGACAACAAAACUAAACAUCCAAGGAAAAUACAGAGUUCCUGUUUGAUCAACUACUAAAACUCCUGGAUUCUCUCUUUCUCUUUUCACCAGUAGCUACAUACAUAAUUGUGACUGAACAUUGUGACAAAGAUACAGUACCACAUUGUACAUUACAUUUUGUAGAGUAUUAUAAGUUAUAAUAUGUAGGUUGGAGGUCUAACUGUAGACAGACACGGUAGAGAGGAGAAGUGAUGACGCGUGAGUUCCCGUUAGCACAUAGGCCCAAUGCUGUUCCUGUAAAUAAUGGGCAGUAGAACUGAAUAGGGCCUCAUAUGGAAUACAGCUAGUCCAUCUGUAUAUAGCCAUGACACCAUAGCUCUAAUAUGUACAUAGGCAUUCAAUUAUACCUCCUUAUUUCUCCUAUCCCCCUUCAACCCUCCUACACUAGCGCAAUGAUACUCACCAUAUCUCCAUAUUCAGACAUGUAAAAUAUAUAUAUACAGGAGGAAACUGGAUACAGAGAGAAGAUACACACAGUGUCUGUUGCAGCUGGAAACACACUGGAGUGAGAAACACAGACCCACUUUGGCUGGAAUAAGGAACUUGUGAACUCUCCCUGCCACAAAGAGGCACACAAUAACCCCGGUUUGUAUGUGUAUUUUACUCCCCUUAGUGAAGUGAAAGUUUCAGUUCAAUGGUUUGAAAGCUUUCUACAGUCCACUCAAUGUACAAAUUGUCAUUUUCAUCCACACUUCCUCCCUCUCCCUCCAUUCCUGAUUGGCUAGUCCUUCCUCUCUCCCCCAGUCCUGAUAGGCUGUUGACAGUUGGUGUGGGUGUGUCAAUCAGAGGGCCUGUAGGUCCGUAGGCCUCUCUGAGACCAGGCGCUCGCUUAGCUCCCACAGGCUGGCUGCAGUGACCUGGUCCUCGGCCUGGGGGGAGGGCAGGCAGCGGAAACAGUUGUUGAAGUACAUCCCUCCUAGACCCUCCAGCUCCGGAGCUACCGCACAGUACACCGUGGUGGCUGCCCCCUGUUGCUGUGGAGACAAAGAGACAGAGGGACAACAGUCAACAUGGAGGACAGAGACAGAGCAGCACUGAUCAACAUCAUCUGUGUGGGAGGAGGGGACAGUCAGAGAGAAUGACAGAGACCCUCUUGUCCGACAAGAGAUACACAGGAACUCCAGCCACCCUACAGAUCCUGCCAAGACACCUCCACUGGAAUACACACCUGUACUCAGUGACCCUCAUCUCUCCUGAUCCUCCAGAGCAUCCAUAUGAGACAGACAAGGAUCUCCAUACAAACACAGAGAGACAGAAAGAUAGACACAGAGAGGAUAAACUCCAUAGAGACCCCCUCUCUGCCACAGCCCAUAAUGAUGGGGCAGUGUUACCAUAGGGACUAUGAAUCUGGAUAGAUAUGUAUAUACAGUACCAGUCAAAGGUUUGGACACACCUUCUCAUUCAAGGGUUUUUCUUUAUUUGGACUAUUUUCUACAUGAUAUAAUAAUAGUGAAGACAUCAAAACUAUUAAAUAACACAUAUGUAAUCAUGUAGUAACCCAAAAAGUGUUAAACAAAAUAUUUUAGAUUCUUCAAAGUAGCCACUAUUUUACUUGAUGACAGCUUUGCACACUCUUGGCAUUCUCUCAACCAGCUUCAUGAGGAAUGCUUUUCCAACAGUCUUUAAGGAGUUCCCACAUAUGCUGAGCACUUGUUGGCUGCUUUUCCUUCACUCUGUGGUCCAACUCAUCCCAAACCAUCUCAAUUGGGUUGAGGUUGGGUGAUUGUGGAGCCCAGGUCAUCUGAUGCAGCACUCCAUCACUCUCCUUGGUCAAAUUGCCCUUACACAACCUGGAGGUGUGUUUUGGGUCAUUGUCCUGUUGAAAAACAAAUGAUAGCCCCACUAAGCGCAAACCAAAUGGGAUGGCGUAUUGCUGCAGAAUGCUGUGGUAGUCAUGCUGGUUAAGUGUGCCUUGAAUUCAAAAUAAAUCACAGACAGUGUCACCAGCAAAGCACACCGACACCAUCAUACCUCCUCCUCCAUGCUUCACAGUGGGAACCACACAUGAGGAGAUCAUCCAUUCACAUACACAGCGCUUGGAACCAAAAAUCUGAAAUUUGGCCUCAUCAGACCAAAGGACAAAUUUCCACUGGUCUGAUGUCCAUUGCUUGUGUUUCUUGGCCCAAGCAAGUCUCUUCUUAUUAUUGGUGUCCUUUAGUAGUGGUUUCUUUGCAACAAUUCGACCAUGAAGGUCUGAUUCACGCAGUCUCCUCUGAACAGUUGAUGUUGAGAUGUGUAUGUUACUUGAACUCUGCAAAGCAUCUAUUUGGGCUACAAUCUGAGGUGCAGUUAACUCUAAUGAACUUAUCCUCUGCAGCAGAGGUACCUCUGGGUCUUCCAUUCCUGUGGUGGUCCUCAUGAGAGCCAGUUUCAUCAUAGCCCUUGAUGGUUUUUGCGACUGCACUUGAAGAAACUUUCAAAGUUCUUGAAAUGUUCUGGAUUUACUGACCUUCAUGUCUUAAAGUAAUGAUGGACUGUCGUUUCUCAUUGCUUAUUUGAGCUGUUCUUGCCAAAAUACGGACUUGGUCUUUUACCAUAUAGGGCUAUCGUCUGUAUACCACCCUUACCUUGUCACAACACAACUGAUUGGCUCAAACACACUAAGAAGGAAAAAACUCCACAAAUGUCCUUUUAACAAGGCACACCUGUUAAUUUAAAUGCAUUCCAGGUGACUCCCUCAUGAAGCUGGUUGAGAGAAUGCCAAGAGUGUGCAAAGCUGUCAUUAAGGCAAAUUGUGGCUUCUUUGAGGAAUCACUUUUUUGGUUACUACAUGAUUCCAUAUGUGUUAUUUCAUAGUGUUAAUGUCUCCACUGUUAUUCUACAAUGUAGAAAAUAGUAAAAAUAAAGAGACACCCUGGAAUGAGUCGGUGUAUCCAAACUUUUGACUGAUUCUGUACAUAUAGUUCUAUAUUGUGUGUAUACAGGACUGCUGACUCUCCACAGAGUGCAUGCUUAUGUGAAUGUGGUAAAUACAGACCAUGGGCAACACUGUCUGUCCACAAAACAACACGAUCUCUGUAGAAUACCACAAUAACUGUAGGAAGGUGGCGACUGUUCAUCCAGAUUUGACGUAAAACACACCCAAAAUAUGUUGCACUUGAUAUUUCUACAGCUGCAAUAUUUUGUAGUUGUUUUGUGGACGUUUGCACACUGCGAGGGCUGUUUCCUGGACAGAGGAUGUGGCCCACAGUGUUCUAGACUGGGGAGGAGGGAGCAGCUCUUCUCAUUGGGAGCGGGGAGCCAGAGGGUUCUGUAAACUCUCUAUAAGAGAACAUACAGUAUCUAUGCCAUGAUUACACAUCUGUAUAUGUUCACAUCAUCUAGAGGUUCAUGAGGGAAGUCAGACUGUAGAGUAGAAUAGAGAGCAACAGUCCUAAACAGUAAACAUUGUAGUACAUGCUGUUUGCCACAGUAAAGAGUGAGAUACAGCGGUAAAGAGUGAUAUGAUGAGAAUAGUGCUCUUGUACACACACGUCAUAUACAGUACAGGCAUGCACACGCUCGCAAACCCCCCUCCUUUCUCUCUUCUCUUUCUAAGAAACGUAGAGAGCAGACAGCCUGUAACACUCUCUGCCCUACACCCUCUAAUUGAGUAGGAAAUGACUACUCAGAAGCUGUGUUUCUCAGUUUAACAUCUCAAAUCCAGUUUACAGUAGUGUGUAGUCACACUGUACUGAGACAUGCCGCCCUAAUGCAGCACCAGACGGCACAGUCGGUAAUUAGGAGCGGCGAGAGGGAGAGAGGGAGUGCGAUUCCACAGCGUUUGAAACAGAGAGAGGAAGAAACAGACAUCAGAGAAUAUUACAGCCAGAAUUCAGGCGCUCAGAGGAUCUUUCAUGUAGCCCUGCUGCUGGCUAAAAACUGCUGUGACGUUAUGAGAAGACAGGAGACUGUUCUGGAGAUGACUUCUAUAGACACAUGAAAUACUUCUCUCUGGCUAACUGCUCUUUAUCUACAAAUGAGACUGGGGGGGAGGACUGGUGAGAGACUGCAGUGCAGAGCAGUUUAGUACAGUGCACUGGCAGAGCAGCAAGGGUCUGUACACAAACAAACACACACACACGCACAUGCAUACGCAUACGCACACGCACACACACACACACACUAACACACACACACACACACACACACACACACACACACACACACACACACACACACACACACACACACACACACACACACACACACACACACACACACACACACACACACACACUUCAAAGGCACAGCCUCAUUGAGGCUCAUUUGAGCAUCUGCAGCCCAAGCUGGCAGAGGCUAAUACAGAGUCACACAUACGGAGAUAUACCAGAACUGUUCCAGCACACACACACUGGCUGUCAUUAAGAUCUAGCAACACACACAGUCACACAUACGGAGAUAUACCAGAACUGUUCCAGCACACACACACUGGCUGUCAUUAAGAUCUAGCAACACACACAGUCACACAUACGGAGAUAUACCAGAACUGUUCCAGCACACACACACACUGGCUGUCAUUAAGAUCUAGCAACACACAGUCACACAUACGGAGAUAUACCAGAACUGUUCCAGCACACACACACUGGCUGUCAUUAAGAUCUAGCAACACACAGUCACACAUAUGGAGAUAUACCAGAACUGUUCCAGCACACACACACUGGCUGUCAUUAAGAUCUAGCAACACACACAGUCACACAUACGGAGAUAUACCAGAACUGUUCCAGCACACACACACUGGCUGUCAUUAAGAUCUAGCAACACACACAGUCACACAUACGGAGAUAUACCAGAACUGUUCCAGCACACACACACUGGCUGUCAUUAAGAUCUAGCAACACACACAGUCACACAUACGGAGAUAUACCAGAACUGUUCCAGCACACACACACUGGCUGUCAUUAAGAUCUAGCAACACACAGUCACACAUACGGAGAUAUACCAGAACUGUUCCAGCACACACACACUGGCUGUCAUUAAGAUCUAGCAACACACACAGUCACACAUACGGAGAUAUACCAGAACUGUUCCAGCACACACACACUGGCUGUCAUUAAGAUCUAGCAACACACACAGUCACACAUACGGAGAUAUACCAGAACUGUUCCAGCACACACACACUGGCUGUCAUUAAGAUCUAGCAACACACACAGUCACACAUACGGAGAUAUACCAGAACUGUUCCAGCACACACACACUGGCUGUCAUUAAGAUCUAGCAACACACACAGUCACACAUACGGAGAUAUACCAGAACUGUUCCAGCACACACACACUGGCUGUCAUUAAGAUCUAGCAACACACACAGUCACCCAUACGGAGAUAUACCAGAACUGUUCCAGCACACACACACUGGCUGUCAUUAAGAUCUAGCAACACACAGUCACACAUAUGGAGAUAUACCAGAACUGUUCCAGCACACACACACUGGCUGUCAUUAAGAUCUAGCAACACACACAGUCACACAUACGGAGAUAUACCAGAACUGUUCCAGCACACACACACUGGCUGUCAUUAAGAUCUAGCAACACACACAGUCACACAUACGGAGAUAUACCAGAACUGUUCCAGCACACACACACUGGCUGUCAUUAAGAUCUAGCAACACACACAGUCACACAUACGGAGAUAUACCAGAACUGUUCCAGCACACACACACUGGCUGUCAUUAAGAUCUAGCAACACACAGUCACACAUACGGAGAUAUACCAGAACUGUUCCAGCACACACACACUGGCUGUCAUUAAGAUCUAGCAACACACAGUCACACAUACGGAGAUAUACCAGAACUGUUCCAGCACACACACACUGGCUGUCAUUAAGAUCUAGCAACACACAGUCACACAAUGUACACACAAAUGUACACACAGUAACACAAUGUACACACAGUCACACACAGUCACACAAUUUACACACAGUCACACACAUGUACACACAGUUACACACAGUCACACACAGUCACACAAUGUACACACAGUCACACACAUGUACACACAGUCACACACAUGUACACACAGUUACACACAUGUACAUACAUGCACACACAUGUACACACAGUCACACAAUGUACACACAGUCACACACAGUUACACACAUGCACAUACAUGUACACACAGUCACACAAUGUACACACAAAUGUACACACAGUAACACAAUGUACACACAGUCACACACAGUCUUACACAUGUACACACAGUCACACACAUGCACACACAGUCUCACAGUCACACAAUUUACACACAGUCACACACAUGUACACACAGUUACACACAGUCACACAAUGUACACACAGUCACACACAUGUACACACAGUCACACACAUGUACAUACAUGCACACACAUGUACACACAGUCACACAGUCACAGAAUAAAGUGCAUGCAUACAUACACAGACAUAUAGUAGACACUCUCAUUGAGCAGACAGACACACUUCCUUCUCAGUGCUGGUAGUAGCAGAGGCAGAUUGAGGCGGUUUGAAACCGCAGAUGAAACAACUGCAUCUCUCUGCUGUCUCCCUCCCUGCCAGCACACUGAUAACUCUACACACCUCAUAGGACUGGCAUAUCAAAGGCUCACACAUGUCACACCCAGACCCACAUAUACACACUUCAAAAGCAGGGUGUCAGAUCUUUUAGCUAACCAGUCACCCUCAGGUAUCUGCUUUAGAACGUAGACACAAACUCAUUGGAAGAUGCAAUAUAUUUACCUGCCUGCUCAUCUUACUCUACUUCCAGGGUCAUCUCUGUUUUAGGUGAAAGGUGGACCAUCAAUACAUUGGAAUGAUUUACACCUGAUCUGAGAACGCAGCUCUACAGCACAGCAGGGAAUUCUGUCUGAGGGAGACAACCAAGAUAUGUACACAGCAGAAGGAGAGCGAGGGUCAAAGAGAGAGGGAGAAAGAGUGUGUGUGUGUGUUAUCUUCUUGGUGUUCAGCUCGGCCCUCCCACUACAUGACCUUUUUACCCGUGUAAGAGAUAAGCCUGAUGAGUUUAGCAUGCUGGACAUUAACAUGUGGAACCACCCACCACCACUAUCUAUCAGAGAGACAUAGAGAGAUGAAAGGGAAUGUGCUGGGCUGGUGACAUGCAUGCAUACACACACACACACACACACACACACACACACACACACACACACACACACACACACACACACACACACACACACACACACAAUCCCUCCUGACAUGUACAGUAGCCCAACAGAUGUCUAUAAUCAUGUACAUUAUAAAUAAUACCUCACAUUCUAGGUGUCGACCAACCAAUGGCUCUUUCUAUUUGUGUACUAGUAUUUGUCAAUGUAAAUCUUGGGGUUGGUUUGUUAUGGUCCUAUCAGACAGAACUGACCACUGCAAACUGGUGAGUGGAGAGGAAAGGGUUAAUUGAGUGUGAGCCCGAGCAACUGUCCCCGAGACAUGACAUCACAUGAUUCACCAGAACUACAAGGGGAAGGGAAGCGGGAAGAAGAAAACUCUUUCACCAUCACUUCAGCAAUAUACAAGAUCUUUUCCAGACCACUUAAACACACAAACCUGACCUCUGCAAUCUCUAUGCUUUAAGAGCUGCAAUAAACAGGCCCUAGAUCAGCAGCAAUAACCUGACCAUGUCUGGCCUGAACCAUCACUGCUCUGGAAAAUAGUCCUGGAUCACAUUUAUGUCUUCCAAUUUUCAACAUAAUGAAAAUAUUUCCAAUGUCUUUGGAAAGUAUUCUGCAAUACUUAACUGUUGAACAGCCAAACAACAGCAGUACUCUUCAAUGUAUUAAAAAGCAAGGUCAGAGAGAAGGGAGAUAUUGGUGUUGAAUCAUUAAAGGGAAACUAUACUGUACCUCAGAGUUGUUCGGUGUUGUUUUCAUAGUAUAACAUGUUACUGUUGUGAUCUCCAACCAUGUCUAAUCACUCUGUGCUUGUACAGUACAGCAAUACUAUAUGAUGCAUUGUGCUAUCUGUUAGCAUAGGACUAAUGCACCAGGAAGAGAAAAGACACGUUUUGUUUCUGCCUCAUCAAGGUGGUGCACUGUCAUUCUGUCAUACGAUCGUUCUCUGAUAAUAUGUGUGACCCUUUUCCCUGACAAGUGUAUUUAUGACAUUGACCUGUAAAUACACCCAGUACUGUGGAGCAGUCUGUUCGUGGCCCAGCCUGUCCUGCCCUGUACAAAGGAACAUGUAAAUAGCAAACGGCUAUGCAUGCUGACACUCUAGCACUUCUUUCAGGUACUUUUAUAAUCCCAAACUGCUCAUAUGGCAUGUCCUGAAAAUCAUCUAUGAACACAGAAAAUAAAAAGAGAAUAAAACAGACGAUGACAUCCUGGACAACGUGUAAAGUCCUACAGUUUUCUUACUCUUGUGGGUGGUUCACUUCUGUUCCUUUAACUGUCAUUCUGUCAUUCUUAAUGUGGUUAAACCAUUCUGGUCAAGGUUCUGUUCAGUUGUCUUGGUGUGUGAAGGGUCGAGGCAAAGCAGAGAGGCAAUCUGUGUGUUAACAACUAAAGCCUGGUUAAGAGUCUGUCCACAUCUGUCACAGGGCAGCAUAGUCCUCUCUUGUUGUGACAAGAGCAGACAUGACUGGCUCUGGCAAAACACACAGGGGGACACUGAUUGUGAUUUAACACGGUUCUGUUUAAGGAACUAGAAUUGGAACUAGGCUAUAUAACAAGCUUAUAUGAUGACAGAAGAUAGUAUGAGCAGUAAAAUAACUUUGCCUCAGCCCUAGAACCCAGUCUGUCUGAACUAACAGUCUCACAUGAAGGUCUAUCUAUGCCAUGAUGGAGAAGAUGGGACUCCAACAGGACUUUGUGCUUUUGUUGAUACUUUAGGAAUGUUUAUUUCCAACCCCAUGGUGUUCACAAUAGAUGGAAGUAUCUGAUUUUUUAAUCUGUGCUAAAGAUAUUUCACAUUUAAUAAAUGAUCAUUGUAACAACA